AUUGAACGCUGGCGGCAGGCCUAACACAUGCAAGUCGAGCGGAUGAAGGGAGCUUGCUCCUGGAUUCAGCGGCGGACGGGUGAGUAAUGCCUAGGAAUCUGCCUGGUAGUGGGGGAUAACGUCCGGAAACGGGCGCUAAUACCGCAUACGUCCUGAGGGAGAAAGUGGGGGAUCUUCGGACCUCACGCUAUCAGAUGAGCCUAGGUCGGAUUAGCUAGUUGGUGGGGUAAAGGCCUACCAAGGCGACGAUCCGUAACUGGUCUGAGAGGAUGAUCAGUCACACGGGAACUGAGACACGGUCCAGACUCCUACGGGAGGCAGCAGUGGGGAAUAUUGGACAAUGGGCGAAAGCCUGAUCCAGCCAUGCCGCGUGUGUGAAGAAGGUCUUCGGAUUGUAAAGCACUUUAAGUUGGGAGGAAGGGCAGUAAGUUAAUACCUUGCUGUUUUGACGUUACCAACAGAAUAAGCACCGGCUAGCUUCGUG
Molecule: ribosomal RNA, 484 nt
Filed under: uncultured bacterium
Lineage: Bacteria
Description: partial 16S ribosomal RNA
Rfam family: Bacterial small subunit ribosomal RNA
Source: RNAcentral